GACGUAGGGUGCGAGCGUUGUCCGGAUUUAUUGGGCGUAAAGAGCUCGUAGGCGGCUCGUCGCGUCGACCGUGAAAACCCGCGGCUUAACUGCGGGCUUGCGGUUGAUACGGGCGGGCUAGAGUUCGGUAGGGGAGACUGGAAUUCCUGGUGUAGCGGUGAAAUGCGCAGAUAUCAGGAGGAACACCGGUGGCGAAGGCGGGUCUCUGGACCGAUACUGACGCUCAGGCACGAAAGCGUGGGGAGCAAACAGG
This 253-nucleotide ribosomal RNA is filed under the name uncultured bacterium. RNAcentral's name for it is "partial 16S ribosomal RNA". It matches the Rfam family "Bacterial small subunit ribosomal RNA", at positions 524 to 776 of the family's 1533-position model. The record is from RNAcentral.